RNAcentral lists this ribosomal RNA (252 nucleotides) under uncultured bacterium. Its description in RNAcentral is "partial 16S ribosomal RNA". It matches the Rfam family "Bacterial small subunit ribosomal RNA", at positions 524 to 775 of the family's 1533-position model. The record is from RNAcentral.
UACGAGGGGGGCAAGCGUUGUUCGGAAUUAUUGGGCGUAAAGGGCGCGUAGGCGGUGCGGUAAGUCACCUGUGAAAUCUCCGGGCUUAACUCGGAGUCUGCAGGCGAAACUGCCGUGCUGGAGUAUGGGAGAGGUGCGUGGAAUUCCUGGUGUAGCGGUGAAAUGCGCAGAUAUCAGGAGGAACACCAAUGGCGAAGGCAGCUCGCUGGGACGGUACUGACGCUGAGACGCGAAAGCGUGGGGAGCAAACAG